GACUGCCCAGAGACGUUUGACAGGUCGUUUUGAAAAGUGUUCGACUCUCCAUCUUCAACGCCCAAUUUGUCAUGACUGAGGCCACAAAUGGAAGCGUCCUCGUCGCUCUGUGUACUGCUAUCCUCCCCGACAGUUGUCUUGCUUAGCUCUCCGUGGAUGUCUUUAGUCUGGGUCGGGCGUUUAUGUUCCAUCCGUCGGUGCUGGAACCUGGCGUUCCAUAAGGUCGAGCAGCACGGCUAUUUCCACACGGCGUGGUCGGCAAAGGUUUUCCUAAAACUCACCUUUUGGAGAGAAGCAAAUGACUUUCGCUGUCGGAAUCAUGAAGCCGGUCGGUGUGAGAGGACAGUUUCUCGUGUUAUUCUUCUUUUCGUGCAUCCACGGGUAGCCUAUUUCUGGGUCAGAGAUUUGGCGUGUAGUGGGCUUCCCCAAUCUGCGCUGUGCCGGGGCCCUGCAUGGCGUGGCUGAGUGCCGAGACUCAAGCUUGGGAUGGUGUGCUCGAAAAGGAGGCACUGCUGGAGGCCUGUAGGAGACUGUCACGACAAUGGAUGGGAUUUCUCGCACUUUUCACAAACUGCAAGACUGCAGGAAAUGACGGUGUACCACUCUUACUCAGUACAUCCAUCAGUAUUAGGUUGUCUCUCCCUAUUUCCAAAUGUCUUUCAGUCGUUUUGAUAAUAUGCAAGUUUAUUUUCAUUUUGCUGAAUUUGAACCAAAGAGCGACGUGUACUGAGCAAAUUAUGCGCUUAUCAUAUUGCUAAUUUUCUGAUGCUUUUUGUUGUGUAACACCUCUACUAUGAAGGCAAAUACUUAAGUCAAUUAGUGUCUUUUAUUUCCUCAGAAGUGGAGCAGCAUGGAAUGUAUGACAUCAAAAAAAAAAAAAAAAAAAAAAUUCAAACUAAUAAACAGCUUCUGAUCGUUGUCUCUUUCGAAUGU
Molecule: long non-coding RNA, 933 nt
Organism: Cyprinus carpio (common carp)
Lineage: Eukaryota; Metazoa; Chordata; Actinopteri; Cypriniformes; Cyprinidae
Source: Ensembl